GGCGAUAUAGUUUAUACCUAGAAUAUUUGUUUUACACACAAAAGGAAUGUUUAUACUUUUUCGUUA
Molecule: transfer RNA, 66 nt
Filed under: Polylabroides guangdongensis
Lineage: Eukaryota; Metazoa; Platyhelminthes; Monogenea; Mazocraeidea; Microcotylidae
Description: tRNA-Val
Source: RNAcentral